This is a long non-coding RNA of Emys orbicularis (European pond turtle), 807 nucleotides long. RefSeq lists it as uncharacterized. The record is from RefSeq and is a predicted model, not a curated record. The transcript has 3 exons. Lineage: Eukaryota; Metazoa; Chordata; Testudines; Emydidae.
UGACCUGCUCCAGGCAGGGCGGGGGGCGCAAGGCAGGGCCGGGGGAGAGACCCAGCUCCAAAUAUUGCUGGAGCAGGGUCCCCGGCCCUGAAUAUUGCUGGAGCUCGGUCACCACAAAAGAAUAUAAACCGCCACCUAUGCGGAGGAGGAGAGGGAGCACCACCUUCACCCCCUGCCUCACCUCAGCGGGUCACCCAGCCUGUGGGUCAGUGUCAACAUCUGCUGCAGCUGCACCGAUUCCCACUUCCAGCAACCUCUGCCCCCAGCACUGGCUCUUAGGGUUGCCAACGCUUCAGGAUUGCCCUGGAGUCUCCAGGAAUUAAAUAUUAAUAUUCAAUUAAAUGUGAUGGCAUGUGAUGAAACCUCCAGGAAUACGUCCAACCAGAAUUGGCAACCCUACUGGCUCUACCCCUAGAGACUCUCACAUGUGCCUUCCCCCACCCUGUAAACCCGAGGGGGGAAGGGCACAGGGGCAGGUAUUGGCCUUGCCCUAGUGGUGCAGCCUGGCCGCAGGGUAGAAGCAGCCCACUGCUGAGGAAGUCUUGGCUGUGCCACUGGGCAACAUGCAGAACCGGAGCACCCUCUGCUGGCCAUCACUUCUUGGAAAUGAGUGUUUAGAAGAGCGCUGUGAAAUUUAGGUGGCGUUUGCACACACAAGUUGGCAGUUUGCUUUUUGCAUCCCCUCUAUUUUUUAUUUACUUGUAGCCGUGACAUUAGCAAUGUGUAAAAAGAUGUGUGUCAGAGACGAGGACUCCUGAGAGUUUUGAUCCGGACCAUGCAGCAGUGAGAAGGAACUGGAGAUGUAGU